AGGUUGGUUAAUCAAUGAUGGAAACUGGGAGACACGUAGUUCCAAAAUGUGAAUCCGAGGGGUUCGAAUCCCUACCAACU
This 80-nucleotide transfer RNA is filed under the name Bolbitis deltigera. RNAcentral describes it as "tRNA-Arg". The record is from RNAcentral. Lineage: Eukaryota; Viridiplantae; Streptophyta; Polypodiopsida; Polypodiales; Dryopteridaceae.